This 767-nucleotide ribosomal RNA is filed under the name uncultured Trichococcus sp. RNAcentral's name for it is "bacterial SSU rRNA". It matches the Rfam family "Bacterial small subunit ribosomal RNA", at positions 1 to 757 of the family's 1533-position model. Lineage: Bacteria; Bacillati; Bacillota; Bacilli; Lactobacillales; Carnobacteriaceae. The record is from RNAcentral.
GGUUACCAGAGUUUGAUCCUGGCUCAGGACGAACGCUGGCGGCGUGCCUAAUACAUGCAAGUCGAACGGUCUUUUCUAUGGAAGCUUGCUUCCACUGAGAAGAUAGUGGCGAACGGGUGAGUAACACGUGGGUAACCUGCCCAUAAGAGGGGGAUAACAUCCGGAAACGGGUGCUAAUACCGCAUAGUUUUCUUGAUCGCAUGAUCGAGAAAGGAAAGACGGCCUUUGUGCUGUCGCUUAUGGAUGGACCCGCGGCGUAUUAGUUAGUUGGUGAGGUAAUGGCUCACCAAGACGAUGAUACGUAGCCGACCUGAGAGGGUGAUCGGCCACAUUGGGACUGAGACACGGCCCAAACUCCUACGGGAGGCAGCAGUAGGGAAUCUUCCGCAAUGGACGAAAGUCUGACGGAGCAACGCCGCGUGAGUGAAGAAGGUUUUCGGAUCGUAAAACUCUGUUGUCAGAGAAGAACAAGUCGGAGAGUAACUGCUCCSGGCCUUGACGGUAUCUGACCAGAAAGCACGGCUAACUACGUGCCAGCAGCCGCGGUAAUACGUAGUGGCAAGCGUGUCCGGAUUUAUUGGGCGUAAAGCGAGCGCAGCGUUCCUUAAGUCUGAUGUGAAAGCCACGCUCAACCGKGAAGUCAUUGGAAACUGGGAACUUGRUGCAGAAGAGARAGUGGAAUUCAUGUGUAGCGGUGAAUGCGUARAWWUAUGGAGGAACACAGUGGCGAAGSGACUCYYCUGUCUGUACUGACGCUGAAGCUCGAA